UGGGAUAUGAUUAAUAUAGUGGAGAAAGGAAAGAGAAUCCUUCAGAAACAUUUGAAGAUUUUUGCUGCCCACGGUCUGUGUCCAAAUAAAUGUGGGCUGUUGUAUCAGAGAGUGAUGAACUGCACUUCCUGUCAGUAUGGGCUCUUUACGUGUCAGUCAGCCACGCCGCCACUAGACUGUGGAGAGCAUCAUCUUGAGGCAGAUGAAGGAGAGGAGGUGGUGCUGGACUGUUUCCUGUGCUGGCACGCUCUCGUAGUUGGGCAGACCGAGUACCAUUACUCCUGGCAUCCUGGAGAAAAGAAUGUACGUGCACACAGACAAACAAACCCAUUUGCUGUUUUCAAAGAAUCCUG
Molecule: long non-coding RNA, 353 nt
Filed under: Sinocyclocheilus anshuiensis
Lineage: Eukaryota; Metazoa; Chordata; Actinopteri; Cypriniformes; Cyprinidae
Description: lncRNA (ENSSANG00000030545.1)
Source: RNAcentral